AGUGGGGAAUUUUGGACAAUGGGGGCAACCCUGAUCCAGCAAUGCCGCGUGAGUGAAGAAGGCCUUCGGGUUGUAAAGCUCUUUUGUCAGGGAAGAAACAGCAGCUCUAACACAGUCUGCGAAUGACGGUACCUGAAGAAUAAGCACCGGCUAACUACGUGCCAGCAGCCGCGGUAAUACGUAGGGUGCAAGCGUUAAUCGGAAUUACUGGGCGUAAAGCGUGCGCAGGCGGUUAUACAAGACAGGCGUGAAAUCCCCGGGCUUAACCUGGGAAUGGCGUCUGUGACUGUAUGACUAGAGUGUGUCAGAGGGGGGUAGAAUUCCACGUGUAGCAGUGAAAUGCGUAGAUAUGUGGAGGAAUACCAAUGGCGAAGGCAGCCCCCUGGGAUAACACUGACGCUCAUGCACGAAAGCGUGGGGAGCAAACAGGAUUAGAUACCC
This 441-nucleotide ribosomal RNA is filed under the name beta proteobacterium SCGC AAA027-M02. RNAcentral describes it as "bacterial SSU rRNA". It matches the Rfam family "Bacterial small subunit ribosomal RNA", at positions 353 to 787 of the family's 1533-position model. The record is from RNAcentral. Lineage: Bacteria; Pseudomonadati; Pseudomonadota; Betaproteobacteria.